UGCAUGAAGUCGGAAUUGCUAGUAAUCGCGGAUCAGCAUGCCGCGGUGAAUACGUUCCCGGGCCUUGUACACACCGCCCGUCACACCAUGAGAGCCGGGAACACCCGAAGUCCGUAGUCUAACCGGAAGGGGGACGCGGCCGAAGGUGGGUUUGGUAAUUGGGGGUGAAGUCGUAACAAGGUAGC
This 185-nucleotide ribosomal RNA is filed under the name uncultured bacterium. RNAcentral's name for it is "partial 16S ribosomal RNA". It matches the Rfam family "Bacterial small subunit ribosomal RNA", at positions 1317 to 1500 of the family's 1533-position model. The record is from RNAcentral.